UACGGAGGGUGCGAGCGUUGUCCGGAAUCAUUGGGCGUAAAGGGCGCGUAGGUGGCCCGGUCAGUCCGUGGUGAAAGCGCGGGGCUCAACCCUGCGUCGGCCAUGGAUACUGCCGCGGCUCGAGCACUGUAGAGGCAGGCGGAAUUCCGGGUGUAGCGGUGGAAUGCGUAGAGAUCCGGAGGAACCCCAGAGGCGAAGGCGGCAUUCUGGCUUGCAACUGACGCUCAGACACGACAGCAUGGGGAGCGAACGGG
RNAcentral lists this ribosomal RNA (254 nucleotides) under uncultured bacterium. RNAcentral describes it as "partial 16S ribosomal RNA". It matches the Rfam family "Bacterial small subunit ribosomal RNA", at positions 524 to 776 of the family's 1533-position model. The record is from RNAcentral.